Molecule: long non-coding RNA, 1811 nt
Organism: Megalobrama amblycephala (Wuchang bream)
Lineage: Eukaryota; Metazoa; Chordata; Actinopteri; Cypriniformes; Xenocyprididae
Exons: 3
Source: RefSeq, a predicted model, not a curated record
AUCAAAAACUUUAGCUCGAUAGACUUAAUAGCUGCUGUAAAGCCAAAACAAACGCUGUCUAUUAAUUUCCUAUUAUCACUGUGAAGCUGCUUUGAAACAAUCUGUAUUGUAAGAAGCGCUAUAUAAAUGAAGAUGACUUGACCCUUGAAUCAAUUCUGCUCUGCUCUGAUUCUGGAGCUGAGAACUGAUGGCGCGGCUUGAUCUUUGGUUGACCAAUCAGCGGAAAGGGGCGUUUUAUUCCCGCCCAUGUAGAAAUCGAAUAUUCAAGCCGUUUAUCCAUUUUGGUUUUAUUGUUUUUCCUUUUGGUGGAUUAGAACAAAGUGUGAUUAAAACGAAAAUAAAAAUAUGAAAAAAACGACUCGAGAUUUGUUUAUUUAUGCUCACGAGGAGGGUCGAAUAUGUGAUAAAUGAAUGCUUUCUUCGUUUUUCCGUUUAGAAGACAAAAACAAAAAAACAAAUUAUACGAAGGUACACGGACCAUACUACUACUAGUACAAUGAACUUUAUUAUUUGAGUAAAACAAACUCAUUUCAUUUAAUCAAUUUCACUGUUCAGUUUUACAGUGUACAAGUGUAUAACUGGUGAUUACGGGAGAAAAAAAGUCUGAAUUUUUAUUUUUUUUAUUCUGUAGUGGAAACAAGCUUUCAAGCUUGUCAGUAUGUUGUUGCUGUUUUAACCAUUAUUUCCCCCUCUAAACGUUUACUUUUACUCCUUGUGAAUUACCUUGAUGGGCAUAGGAUUUUUGUGUUUAUCCCCUCCCAGAAUCUUAAUGAAAUGUUUUGCAUCUCUGAUGCCUUUUCAGAAACGUCCUUUUGAAAUAGCAAGAGGUUGUGAAUAAUUUCACCCUGAAGCUCUUACUCUGGUUUCACUAAGCUACUAGAGGCAAAUUGAUCGCUCUCGACGGGCUGAAAUCUUUGCAUUCUUUACGGAUUUUUCCCUCUUUCUGUGUUUGUAUGGGGGAAAUGAGAUUGCUUGCUAGGGUGAUGAGACUCCAAAUGGCUGUCAUUUCUCCUGGAAUCAGAUGAAAGUGGCCACGUUGCCAGCGGAGGAGCCCAGGGGCCGGGCAGGGAGGCAGAGCCAUCUUCUAUAACUCCUCAUCUGGGCUGAGUGAUGGAGCGCCAUUCGGUGAGGAGAAAUUCUCCUCCCCGUAUUCCUGUAAUCUUUGCCUGCUGUCUCCUGUGAAACGCACCACAGUAACCAUGGCAAUGCUGCACCUGAGCAGGAAAUAGCCACUCCAAACCCAGAGAAAUCAAAUCCUAGCCUUGUAGCCGAAUGGUGAUUUCUGUUAAUAGUUUGAAAUAUAUUGAUGCUGUUCCUUAAGCUUUAGAAGCAUUAGACAAGUACUAAUAGUAUUUUAUGUGAUGAUUAGUUUAAUCCAACUCACUAUAGUUUGCAGGGUAUUUGUAUUACAUUGUGUUUUUGUGUAUAUAUUCAGUAUUCAAUAUAAAACCAGGGAAAUUACAGUAUAUUGUUUCAACACCACAGCAAAAACAUACAAAAACACUACUGUUCAGUAAGAUUUUUUUAAAGAAAUUACUACUUUUAUUUAGCAAGGACACAUUGAAUUGACCAAAAGUGACAGUAAAGAGUUUUACAAUGUUACAAAAGACUUCUAUUUCAAAUAAAUGCUGUUAUUUUUUAACUUUCUAUUAAUCAAAUAAUCCUUUAAAAAAUCAUGGAUCAUAUCAGGGUAUCAUGGUUCCCACAGAAAAUAUUAAGCAGCACAACUGUUUUCAACAUUGAUAAUCUGAAAUGUUUCUUGAGCAGCAAAUCAUCAUAUUAGAAUGAUUUCUGAAGGAUCACGUGACACU